Molecule: non-coding RNA, 4439 nt
Organism: Pogona vitticeps (central bearded dragon)
Lineage: Eukaryota; Metazoa; Chordata; Lepidosauria; Squamata; Agamidae
Source: RefSeq, a predicted model, not a curated record
CGGGGCGGAAGUGACGCACUCGGGCCGGUGAGGCGGCUGAGGGAACCGCUGGUGGUGCUGCCCGCCGUCGCCGCCCCUCCGUCUCCUCGUCCCCGUCUGGGCCCGGCCCUCUUGGGUGCCUGACGCCGCCGCCGCCGCCGCGGCCUCGCCUUUCCUUCCCUUUCCCUCCGAGGCCCUCCCGCCAUGUCUGCCCCCGGAGGAACCGGCGGCGAGUUCGGGAACCCGCUGCGCAAGUUCAAGUUGGUCUUCCUGGGCGAGCAGAGCGUUGGAAAGACCUCCUUGAUUACCAGAUUCAUGUACGACAGUUUUGACAACACUUACCAAGCGACAAUUGGAAUUGAUUUCCUUUCAAAGACCAUGUAUUUAGAAGACCGCACGCAGGUCCGACUUCAGCUUUGGGACACGGCAGGCCAGGAGCGGUUUCGUAGCCUCAUCCCCAGCUACAUCCGUGACUCAACUAUUGCAGUAGUAGUCUAUGACAUCACAAACCUAAAUUCCUUCCAGCAAACCUCCAAAUGGAUUGACGAUGUGCGAACAGAGAGGGGAAGUGAUGUCAUCAUCAUGCUAGUGGGAAAUAAGACUGACCUCGCAGACAAAAGGCAAAUUACUACGGAGGAAGGGGAGCAGAGAGCCAAAGAACUGAGUGUGAUGUUCAUUGAGACCAGCGCCAAGACUGGCUAUAAUGUGAAACAGCUUUUCCGCCGCGUGGCUGCAGCGUUGCCUGGUAUGGAUAGCACUCCCGAGAAGAGCAAAGAUGACAUGAUUGAUAUCAAACUAGAGAAACCUCCUGAGCAGCCGGUAAUGGAGAGCGGGUGCUCCUGCUAAGAGGAUCUGCGGUGUGGCGGCCCCCUUCCCGAUCGGCCGGUCCCGUCUCGCCGGAGAGCAUCACUUUCCCAUUGACUGAAAGGAACUUAACUUUUCCGAGGGCUGAGAAACCCGGUCUUAAGUAACGAGAUUGAGCCCCACCCCGUACUGUGAACAGCCUUGGCUGCUCCCUUCUACUGCAUGGUGUGAACCCUCAACUGUGUCCUGUCCUUUGUUGGUUGUUGCACUCUUGGUGCUGGUGGCACCUUUAUCCUAGGUUUCCUCUCUUGGGCGUGAGCACCUCGCUGUGUGAUGCUGUGAAGCAAAAAGGGAGGAUUUAGCAAAAUGCUUUUCAACCUCCAGCAUGGGCUGGAGUGUCGUCUGUCUCCUCAUUGCUGCCUUUAUCUUCCUUCUUGAGGCUGCUUCUUGACGUUGGUUUGGCCCAUCCUUGCCCUGGGAGAGGCGGGCACCCUCUCAUGCUGACCUCCUGCCUCGUGGCCUCAGCCACCUGCUCCCAUCCCUGUUCCAUUGUCUUUCCUCGAGGAGAGAAGGGAGGGGAGGACGUAGCUCCAAGCACGUGCCUCAUGAGACGUGUUGCGCUUUAUCUCUACAUGGUAGCUAGCUGAUUCUUAGGUGGCGAUUACCUACCCUUUUCCCAGAAAGGUGGUGCUCCUGAAAUAGUUGGAAUAUAGAAGGGAAGAAUAAGCAAAAUCGAAAUGAGUGACUCCAUUGAUUGUGGAGUCUUAAUUAGAAAGCAGAGCACUGGGAUGUUCUCCUGUCCUUUCUCCAUUUCAGAUUCCUUCUCUGUCCUCACACCCAUCCAUUUGACGCGUUCUCUGUUUAGGGAAGUUAUGCACUGCAUAGUUGCUAGCUUAAUUAAAACGGGCAUGUGUACCAGGUUCAGACCAACACCAUGAGCCCCCAUGUUGUAUAAUUUAUCACUUGGAGACCAUGUUAAGCCAAGUUCUUUCUGUCUACCUUCAUGCCUUGUAGUCCUAAUUUCCAGCUUUAUAGAUGGCAAUGGAUGGCAUGUUCAUGCUAUCACCGAGUCCGUGGCUUUGCUAUAGGAACGAACCUUCUCUGUAUUCAGUGUUUUUCUUUCCCUGGGAUGAUAGCCUGACCUUGGAGAACCUCCAGUGGGGGGGUGGUUCAGCAUCACCCCUUGAACUGUUUCAGCUGCUGUAAUAUGAAGCACGAGGCAGGAUCCCGGUGUCCUAGUCUGACUCUUCAUUUGUUUUAGAGCUUAUUAUUGACCCUUCACCAUUUUUGUGCAGGUUAUGACACAAGGGGAAAUGUUGGCUUGUUCUUUAUUUGAAAAAUAACCGGUGUCUCAAAAGUGUUUCGAGAACAAAAACUGCUGUAAGCUCUGUUGAGCGUUAGACUCAGCCCAAAAUGUGUUUUCAGAUAAAUAUUUCCCUCUGCUAAUGGAGCCAAGCUUUGAAAGGCAUGUAGGUGGUCAGAGUGACUUGGGUAGUUGUUUCUGGGGCUGGAAGCAUAGCCCAGUUUGUUCAGCUGGUGGCUGCUUGUCUGUCUUAAAAGCCAAAAUGCAGAAUCCUUAACAGCUCAUCUGUUCCUCUGCUGCUGAGACUUUGUAUAGAGAACCUUUCUGUUUACUUCUGUGUAUGCAUGGGAUAUCACUCUUUCUCAGUUAGAGGUGCUUCGAAGCAUGGUCUGUGAGGCCCUAGCCUUCGGCCACCAGCUGCCCUCAAAAUUAUGGGCUAUAAAGCCACCAUAAUAGCAGUUUGGGCAAGUCAGUUGCAUUAUUCUGUCAACGAUGUUGAGAUCUCGACAGAGGAAAAACAGGAUUUUUUCCAUGCAUCCUUUGUUUAGGGUCUCCUUUGGAGUGAAAGGGUAGUCCUUUUCUUACAGGGAAAACACUGGAGUUCCUGCUUCAUUGCUUUGUUCAGCUACACUUACUUAGCUUGAAAUGCUCCUAACCGGUGCCUGAGGUGUGUUUGGGGCAGACAUGAACACAAACCGCUGGGUCAGCGGGUGUUCAUUUCCUGGCCGAAGAGCUGGCCCGCCCCCCUCCAGCAGGUGAAGAGAAAUCUGCCCAUAGACAUAGCUUAGACAUGCUCCUUUUCUCAUGGACAUUCUUUGUUCAAUGCCACACGUGCUUGUUCCAGGAGGGGCAGACAGUUGUGCCUCAACUCGGGGUGUGUUAAGAUGGCUUUUCUUUACAAAAUGUGCUGCUGUUUCCAACUCCAGGCCCUGCACGUUCUUCUCCCCACAGAGCGCUGAGGUUCAAAGCAUUUUCUUCCCUCCCACCCUGUUCCUAGUUUACUAGGGCUCUAGACGGUAUUUCCAACAAAUUCCUUAUGUCUUACAGACAAAAUUCUGUCAGUAUAGCUUUUAACCUUUCAGACAUAAUAACCUGUUAUGGAAUUGGAUGGCUUUGUGCUAAAUCCCGUUAUUUUGCCCCACUUAGAGCAGACCCAUUGAACAAAUGGGACUUAAGACUUAAUGGCUCUCCUCCAGUUGCAACUAAUGAAUUUAGGCGUUUGCUUCUCAAAUUUUGCCAUUUUUGUUAAUACAGGAUAGCAACAAUAAAGUUACAGAAAAAUGACACGCUUGUCAUCAACCCACAUUGCUUAAAAUUCCACUGACACCACUACACGUUGUGUUUUUUGCACUGUCGCUCCACAAAGACAACACCAUGCCCCUUUGCAGCCUCAAAUGAACUUUGCUGGGCCCUGUUACCAUGCCCCAAGGGUGAGGCACAGCUGACUUCUGUCUUGAUGCAAGCACCCAAGUGGCCCCGUGAAGCACGUCAGUGUGAAAAGAGGGCAGUUUUCCUCUAGAGAGAGAGACCUCUCUACUUAUUGUCCACCUAGUUCAGUUGAAUAAGUAAGUUUUGUUCAGAGGUCUGCUGUAUCUUGAAAGUGUUGGGUUGGCCAAUGUUUCCAGUGAUCUGUAGCCUGUCCUGGUUCCUUGGCUGCGUGUGAGAGGAUCUGCUCCAUCUGUACGUGGAGGGUUGAUCGGCUAUCCUUCCAUACCUCUUCAUCUGAGCAUAAGCACCCAUAAGGUUAGAAAAAAGCAAAGGAACACACCACUGUUUCAUACUGUGUGCCACUUUCACAGAAAAAUGGGCUUUGUCCUGUCAGGUUAGGAAUCAGAAUGCCUCUGCGGAGGCCUUUAUUGUGUGUGUAUGAGUGUGUGUGUGUGUGUGUAGAUAGAUUAGAUAGAUCCCUUCUGUUUUGUGGGAAUUGCUGAAGUCCCAUCAGUGUUUGUUUCUCCCUCUCCCCGUCUCUCAUUCAUUCUACGUCUCAUGGAUGCAGUGGGACAGGUGGUGCUUCCCCUUUUGUAGUAGCAGCACAGCCCUUCCGCUGCUGCUACUACAGUAUUCUCUCGAGACAAGCUGGAAACAUUUUUCAAGAGAGUAAGGAUCUACACGUAAGCUCAUCUUUGUGGGAAGGGGUUAGGGGGCCAGUUGGACAGGCGGCAGCAGGGGGAAUCUAGUGAACGACAAGAGGUCACUCUUCACUGCCUUCUCUGUGGAUGUGUAUAAUAUUGAGUGUGUUCUCUUUGGCUCGCUGUCUUCUAGCUGUUAGCCAAGUAAGUGACUCUUAAUAUAUCAAUAUUGACUGUCAGAUUAAAGCUGUGUAUCACACUAAAUAAAGUUAAUUUCACCAUGA